This 313-nucleotide unclassified non-coding RNA is filed under the name uncultured fungus. Its description in RNAcentral is "sequence contains ITS2". The record is from RNAcentral. Lineage: Eukaryota; Fungi.
AACGCACCUUGCGCCCCUUGGUUAUUCCUUGGAGCAUGCCUGUUUGAGUAUCAUGAACACCUCAACUCUCAUGGUCUUCCAUGAUGAGCUUGGACUUUGGGGGUUUGCUGGCCCUGCGGCCGGCUCCUCUCAAAUGAAUCAGCUUGCCAGUGUUUGGUGGCAUCAUGGGUGUGAUAACUAUCUACGCUCGCGGUCGUCUGCCAGGUAACCCUCAGCGAUGAGGGUUCAUUGGAGCUCAUAAACGUCUCUCCUCGGCGAGGACAACUUUUGAACGUUCGAUCUCAAAUCAGGUAGGAUUACCCGCUGAACUUAA